RNAcentral lists this non-coding RNA (194 nucleotides) under bovine gut metagenome. The record is from RNAcentral.
UGUAUGACGGUUUCCGCGCGGGCGGAAUUAAAAGGGAAUCCGGUGUGAAUCCGGGACAGUCCCGCUGCUGUGUUUCUCGAUCCGAAAGGCGAAACACGAGUUCGAAAAUCGGAAGCGUUUGUGUCCAUGAUGCCACUGCCGAAAGGUGGGAAGGCGAUACAAGCAGAGAUUAGUCAGAAGACCUGCCGCGUACA